UUUCCUACGGGUGGCAGCAGUGGGGAAUAUUGGACAAUGGGGGCAACCCUGAUCCAGCCAUGCCGCGUGAGUGAUGAAGGCCCUAGGGUUGUAAAGCUCUUUUGUGCGGGAAGAUAAUGACGGUACCGCAAGAAUAAGCCCCGGCUAACUUCGUGCCAGCAGCCGCGGUAAUACGAAGGGGGCUAGCGUUGCUCGGCAUCACUGGGCGUAAAGGGUGCGUAGGCGGGUUUUUAAGUCAGGGGUGAAAUCCUGGAGCUCAACUCCAGAACUGCCUUUGAUACUGAAGAUCUUGAGUCCGGGAGAGGUGAGUGGAACUGCGAGUGUAGAGGUGAAAUUCGUAGAUAUUCGCAAGAACACCAGUGGCGAAGGCGGCUCACUGGCCCGGUACUGACGCUGAGGCACGAAAGCGUGGGGAGCAAACAGGAUUAGAUACCCUGGUAGUC
RNAcentral lists this ribosomal RNA (443 nucleotides) under uncultured Alphaproteobacteria bacterium. Its description in RNAcentral is "bacterial SSU rRNA". It matches the Rfam family "Bacterial small subunit ribosomal RNA", at positions 335 to 795 of the family's 1533-position model. Lineage: Bacteria; Pseudomonadati; Pseudomonadota; Alphaproteobacteria. The record is from RNAcentral.